AGAGUUUGAUCCUGGCUCAGGACGAACGCUGGCGGCGUGCCUAAUACAUGCAAGUAGAACGCUGAAGAGAGGAGCUUGCUCUUCUUGGAUGAGUUGCGAACGGGUGAGUAACGCGUAGGUAACCUGCCUUGUAGCGGGGGAUAACUAUUGGAAACGAUAGCUAAUACCGCAUAACAAUGGAUGACACAUGUCAUUUAUUUGAAAGGGGCAAUUGCUCCACUACAAGAUGGACCUGCGUUGUAUUAGCUAGUAGGUGAGGUAACGGCUCACCUAGGCGACGAUACAUAGCCGACCUGAGAGGGUGAUCGGCCACACUGGGACUGAGACACGGCCCAGACUCCUACGGGAGGCAGCAGUAGGGAAUCUUCGGCAAUGGGGGCAACCCUGACCGAGCAACGCCGCGUGAGUGAAGAAGGUUUUCGGAUCGUAAAGCUCUGUUGUAAGUCAAGAACGAGUGUGAGAGUGGAAAGUUCACACUGUGACGGUAGCUUACCAGAAAGGGACGGCUAACUACGUGCCAGCAGCCGCGGUAAUACGUAGGUCCCGAGCGUUGUCCGGAUUUAUUGGGCGUAAAGCGAGCGCAGGCGGUUUGAUAAGUCUGAAGUUAAAGGCUGUGGCUCAACCAUAGUUCGCUUUGGAAACUGUCAAACUUGAGUGCAGAAGGGGAGAGUGGAAUUCCAUGUGUAGCGGUGAAAUGCGUAGAUAUAUGGAGGAACACCGGUGGCGAAAGCGGCUCUCUGGUCUGUAACUGACGCUGAGGCUCGAAAGCGUGGGGAGCGAACAGGAUUAGAUACCCUGGUAGUCCACGCCGUAAACGAUGAGUGCUAGGUGUUGGAUCCUUUCCGGGAUUCAGUGCCGCAGCUAACGCAUUAAGCACUCCGCCUGGGGAGUACGACCGCAAGGUUGAAACUCAAAGGAAUUGACGGGGGCCCGCACAAGCGGUGGAGCAUGUGGUUUAAUUCGAAGCAACGCGAGGAACCUUACCAGGUCUUGACAUCCCGAUGCUAUUUCUAGAGAUAGAAAGUUACUUCGGUACAUCGGUGACAGGUGGUGCAUGGUUGUCGUCAGCUCGUGUCGUGAGAUGUUGGGUUAAGUCCCGCAACGAGCGCAACCCCUAUUGUUAGUUGCCAUCAUUCAGUUGGGCACUCUAGCGAGACUGCCGGUAAUAAACCGGAGGAAGGUGGGGAUGACGUCAAAUCAUCAUGCCCCUUAUGACCUGGGCUACACACGUGCUACAAUGGUUGGUACAACGAGUUGCGAGUCGGUGACGGCAAGCUAAUCUCUUAAAGCCAAUCUCAGUUCGGAUUGUAGGCUGCAGCUCGCCUACAUGAAGUCGGAAUCGCUAGUAAUCGCGGAUCAGCACGCCGCGGUGAAUACGUUCCCGGGCCUUGUACACACCGCCCGUCACACCACGAGAGUUUGUAACACCCGAAGUCGGUGAGGUAACCUUUUGGAGCCAGCCGCCUAAGGUGGGAUAGAUGAUUGGGGUGAAGUCGUAACAAGGUAACCAAGGGCGAAUUCCACAUU
RNAcentral lists this ribosomal RNA (1527 nucleotides) under uncultured bacterium. Its description in RNAcentral is "bacterial SSU rRNA". It matches the Rfam family "Bacterial small subunit ribosomal RNA". The record is from RNAcentral.